UACGUAGGGACCAAGCGUUGUUCGGAUUUACUGGGCGUAAAGGGCGCGUAGGCGGCGCGGUAAGCGUGCGGUGAAAGCCCGGGGCUCAACCCCGGGUCGGCCGUGCGGACUGCCGGGCUGGAGCACUGUAGAGGCAGGUGGAAUUCCGGGUGUAGCGGUGGAAUGCGUAGAGAUCCGGAAGAACACCGGUGGCGAAGGCGGCCUGCUGGGCAGUAGCUGACGCUGAAGCGCGACAGCGUGGGGAGCAAACAGG
This 253-nucleotide ribosomal RNA is filed under the name uncultured bacterium. Its description in RNAcentral is "partial 16S ribosomal RNA". It matches the Rfam family "Bacterial small subunit ribosomal RNA", at positions 524 to 776 of the family's 1533-position model. The record is from RNAcentral.